AGGAGCCGUGUAACGGGAAACUGUUACGCACGGUUUUGAAGACCAACGGGAUUGGUGACCAUCUCGUUGAGUUUAAU
Molecule: non-coding RNA, 77 nt
Organism: Calothrix sp. PCC 7507
Lineage: Bacteria; Bacillati; Cyanobacteriota; Cyanophyceae; Nostocales; Calotrichaceae
Source: Rfam